Molecule: ribosomal RNA, 253 nt
Filed under: uncultured bacterium
Lineage: Bacteria
Description: partial 16S ribosomal RNA
Rfam family: Bacterial small subunit ribosomal RNA
Source: RNAcentral
UACGUAGGGUGCGAGCGUUAAUCGGAAUUACUGGGCGUAAAGCGUGCGCAGGCGGUUUUGUAAGCCAGAUGUGAAAUCCCCGGGCUUAACCUGGGAAUGGCAUUUGGGACUGCAAGGCUUGAGUGUGGCAGAGGAGACUGGAAUUCCUGGUGUAGCAGUGAAAUGCGUAGAUAUCAGGAGGAACACCGAUGGCGAAGGCAGGUCUCUGGGCUAACACUGACGCUCAUGCACGAAAGCGUGGGGAGCAAACAGG